GCCAGUGCUCCGAUCCGAAAUAGGGUGCAAACGGGCUGGGUGCGGGGGUAAACAUGUCCCGCUUCGCUGGAGUUGUCUACCAGAAGACCGGUCUGUCGCUGUGUAACUUUUCGACAUUCACGACAGUACGAUCUCGGUCCAACGCGAAGUACUCGCUGAGAAGUGUGUAGUCGUCAACCCUUGUUGGAUCAAAAUAAUGCCUUAUUUUCUGCAUAGCAUUCCAAAAAUUGAUAUUUGCCAGCAAGUCGGGAAAACCAGCAGAGUAUUGACCCUAUCAACUCUGGAUUUUUCAUUUUCUGUCGCUGAAUAAAGUUUAUAAACUGUUGAAGUUUUACCACAGCGUGUGACAUAAGCGUCCGGUGUACCGUACGUACUGUGCACACGGUAUACGGUGCGGCUUUGUACGGGUAGUGCUGCAGUCGAAAAUCUAGUGGACGAAGGAGAAAUACAUGGACCUGAAACUUUCAUUAUUUAUAUAUCUUGUAUCUUUCCUCUUAUAGGACUCACAAAGAUGAUCAUUUGAGAUAAUCAUAAUCCAGAUGACAGAAUACAAAUAUAAUCCGUCGGACUAGAGGUCUUGUAUUGGAUGUUUUAAUUCUUGAACGGACCAAAGGAGUUUCCAAAAUGAGGACGAGUUUGGGGUUUAAUUACCAGAUUCUGUUUAUGUGCAUUCUGUCAUCAUUUCUUCCUGUCAUUGUCGAUGGAGCUUGUCUUCAUGAUGGAUUCCAUUAUGCGGUAAGUGGUAGAAAAUGAUAAUGAUAAUAUUGAUUAAGAUGCUGAUGACAAAUAGUAUGCAGCGCAAAGAAAUAAUGUAUUAAGUGACAAUAAUAUGCAACACAUUUAACCCACACUUAAGCACAGUUACCCACUUAAUAUGCUUGAGUAUUCAAGGAAUCCUUCUGGGUAGGCAUACCUAUUUACCUGGGUACCUGGGUAGAGAGUGGAAAAUAUGGAUAAAUGCUUUGUCAUUGGAUGUGAGUACUGUGGUGGGACUUGAACCAUCAGCCUUAUGGUUCAAGGUCAGGAGACUUAUCCACUGAGCCACAACACUUCCACAUAUAAUCUUACAACCCUGUCCUAUAAAGAAUUGUUUUUAUGUUAAAUCUUUAAAUUUUAAUGACUUAUCUUUCAAGCAAUGAUGUGUGGUAGUUAUUUUUGUCUUUAAGUUGUUCUCUGAUUGCCCAUAGGAUUUUCCAGUAAGUUCUACUGAAAUGAUUCUGACAAAGUUUGUGAUGGAAAACUUGUUAUGACAGAGAAGUUGAACACUCAAAUAGCAUUGAGUAUAGACUGCCCCAAAAUUUCAAAAUGAAGAAAAAAUACAGAUAUAUUUAAGCAUGAAGAUUCAAGGAAUAGAUUUGGUCAAAACUUCAAACAAAUAAAAUUAGCACCCCCCUUAAGGCAAAAGAUGAUGAUCAGGGCCCAGUC
Molecule: long non-coding RNA, 1425 nt
Organism: Lytechinus variegatus (green sea urchin)
Lineage: Eukaryota; Metazoa; Echinodermata; Echinoidea; Temnopleuroida; Toxopneustidae
Exons: 3
Source: RefSeq, a predicted model, not a curated record